AACGAACGCUGGCGGCAUGCCUAACACAUGCAAGUCGAACGAGACCUUCGGGUCUAGUGGCGCACGGGUGCGUAACGCGUGGGAACCUGCCCUUAGGUUCGGAAUAACUCCCCGAAAGGGGUGCUAAUACCGGAUAAUGUCUUCGGACCAAAGAUUUAUCGCCUUUGGAUGGGCCCGCGUUGGAUUAGCUAGUUGGUAGGGUAAAAGCCUACCAAGGCGACGAUCCAUAGCUGGUCUGAGAGGAUGAUCAGCCACACUGGGACUGAGACACGGCCCAGACUCCUACGGGAGGAAGCAGUGGGGAAUAUUGGACAAUGGGCGAAAGCCUGAUCCAGCAAUGCCGCGUGAGUGAUGAAGGCCUUAGGGUUGUAAAGCUCUUUUACCCGGGAUGAUAAUGACAGUACCGGGAGAAUAAACUCCGGCUAACUCCGU
RNAcentral lists this ribosomal RNA (432 nucleotides) under uncultured bacterium. RNAcentral describes it as "partial 16S ribosomal RNA". It matches the Rfam family "Bacterial small subunit ribosomal RNA", at positions 29 to 506 of the family's 1533-position model. The record is from RNAcentral.